GUGAGUAACACGUGGGUGACCUGCCCUUCACUCUGGGAUAAGCCUGGAGGAAACUAGGGUCUAAUGACCGUGAUAUUCACUUCCUACUAGCAUGGUGGGUGGUGGAAAGUUUUCGGUGGGGGAUGGGCCCGCGGCCUAUCAGCUUGUAGGUGGGGUGAUGGCCUACAAGGGCGACGACGGGUAGCCGGCCUGAGAGGGCGACCGGCACACUGGGACUGAGACACGGGCCAGACUCCUACGGGAGGCAGCAGUGGGGAAUAUUGCGCAAUGGGCGGAAGCCUGACGCAGCGAACGCCGCAGUGGGGGAUGACGGCCUUCGGGGUUGUAAACCUACUUUACGACCUUCGACAGAAGCCUUACGGGGUGACGGGAAAGGGGUGGAAGAAGCACCGGCCAAAUACGUG
RNAcentral lists this ribosomal RNA (404 nucleotides) under uncultured bacterium. RNAcentral describes it as "bacterial SSU rRNA". It matches the Rfam family "Bacterial small subunit ribosomal RNA", at positions 106 to 507 of the family's 1533-position model. The record is from RNAcentral.